RNAcentral lists this ribosomal RNA (253 nucleotides) under uncultured bacterium. RNAcentral describes it as "partial 16S ribosomal RNA". It matches the Rfam family "Bacterial small subunit ribosomal RNA", at positions 524 to 776 of the family's 1533-position model. The record is from RNAcentral.
UACGGAGGGCGCAAGCGUUGUUCGGAAUCACUGGGCGUAAAGCGCGUGUAGGCGGUCGGCUAAGUCUGAUGUGGAAGCCCGGGGCUCACCCCCGGAAGGGCAUUGGAGACUGGCUGACUUGAGUGCCGGAGAGGAGGGUGGAAUUCCUGGUGUAGCGGUGAAAUGCGUAGAUAUCAGGGGGAGCACCGGUGGCGAAGGCGGCCCUCUGGACGGAUACUGACGCUGAGACGCGAAAGCGUGGGGAGCAAACAGG